Molecule: long non-coding RNA, 1838 nt
Organism: Vespa velutina
Lineage: Eukaryota; Metazoa; Arthropoda; Insecta; Hymenoptera; Vespidae
Exons: 2
Source: RefSeq, a predicted model, not a curated record
CAUAAAGCGCGAUUAUGUCAAACACGAAUAAACAUUUAUCCGUUUUCCUUCUAUUCAUAUAUCAAGUUCAAUACAAUAUAAUUUAUUAAAAUCAAAGGUUUUUAUAAUCCAUCUUGUAAUAUUAUCAUACUUGUAUGUUAGUAAUAGUUUAUAUAUUAAAAUUAAAAUCAGUGAUUCUCUUUAAGAUAUAACAAUAUUUAUAGUAUUUAAAUUGAUUAACAAUAUAUUUGUGCUCUUAUCAUAAGACAAGCAAAUUUUUUACAACAAAAGAUGUUUACUAUACACUCAAGACAUGGAAAUAGUUCAGGUGUGACAUUUCCAGUAACCAAAAUCAUAAUUCAUUAUAGCCAUAUCAUUCAAGACUAUGCCAAAUAGUACUAUAUAUUACGAAAUUUUGAAAAUAAGCAUGCCGAUGAUGUGUCAGAUAUUUUAAAUAACCAAUUAAUUGAUAUGCCAUAUCUAUGUAUUGAAGCAUGAUAGGAGCAAUAUUUGUACAAAUUAUACAAAAGAUUACUAUACAAAAUAUUGAGCACAAAAUGUACGAUACUUGCAGAGAAAAGUGAGAUUUAAGAAUGUAUACUAUUUCAUCAAUCUUUCGUUUAGCUAAUGAAGUUUUUUAAUUAAGUACCAUCAGGUGUUAUAUGCAGUCAAAAGGAUUAAAAGUAUAUGAACUUAACGAUAUGGAUACAGUUAUAUUUGUGACAGUCUGAAAGAUGAUAUCAAGUUCAUCAUAUUUUCAAUAUAGUACAUAAUUUAUCAUUGCGGUUAAAAAAAUUUUUCCAUAAUAAUUAUUCCACUUCACAUCAGUAGCAACCAACCAAUCUGUUCAAUAGAUCGUCAAUUAUCAUAAAAAUUACAUCUUCUUCGCAAAGGCUAAAAUUGUAUAUAGAAUAAUAAAUGCAAGUUUUGAAGAUGUAAUUUUCGUACCUUUGGAUACAUAUAUUUAAAAAAUGGUCUGGUACAUUAGUUCUGUAAAUAACCGAUUCUUCAAGGGGACCUAAAUUAAAACGUUUUAAAAAGCAACCGGUAACAAAUUAUCUCUUUUCUACAUUAUUGGUAUUUAUUUUAACAUUGUGACAAAAAUAGUUAUUCUUUAAUAUAUAACAAAUUAUUCAUGAUAAUUUUUUGUGUUUGAUAAGCAAUGUGGAAAAAUGACAAAAUUUCUUUAUUAAAAUAAUUGUGAAAUGUAAUGUAAAAUAUAUAUAAAAUAAAAUGAUUAAUAUUUUACAAUUAAACCAACUUAUCUAACUGUCGUGACUUAGCAAGAUUUUUUUCAAUUCAAAAGAUUAAAAUUCUUAUGUCAUAUUAUAUGAUCCCGUAAUAAUAUUUCAUGAUAUAUUUCGGUUAAAAAUUAUUUUUGAAAUUUGAAGUGUUUAAUAAUAACAUAAUAUAUUUAUAAUUAUUUACAAUAUUGGUAAUAUAAUAUAUUCUUAUAGAAAUAAUAAUAUUAAAGAAACUGUGGAAGUUGCUUUUUAUAUGUUGAAUUUAUUUUAUAUGUGUACUUUUAAAAUAAGUUCUUUGAAGAUAAUCUAUUAAUGAUCAUGUAUAUAUCCAUAAAGUGGAGCUUCCAUAUAUGCUCUACUAAUAUCCAAAGAGUUUCUACGAAUACGUCUUCCAAUUGGCUCUAAAUCAUUAUAACACAUGGGAAAAACUUUUUCUAUUGCUAUUUUAGCUUCUUGUUCUGUUACUUUACGUACUCCCAUUAUAGAAGCUGUUGCCAUGUUCUUUACACAAUCCUACGUAAAUUAUUAUUAAAUUAAUCAUAAUAAAAUAUAUGUAUUAUGUGUCUGUGAUGUAAAUAGUUAUUGAUACUAUGUAAUUAUAUAAUUCAUACUUGA